AUUGAACGCUGGCGGCAGGCCUAACACAUGCAAGUCGAGCGGCAGCGGGAAGUAGCUUGCUACUUUGCCGGCGAGCGGCGGACGGGUGAGUAAUGUCUGGGAAACUGCCCGAUGGAGGGGGAUAACUACUGGAAACGGUAGCUAAUACCGCAUAACGUCGCAAGACCAAAGAGGGGGACCUUCGGGCCUCUUGCCAUCGGAUGUGCCCAGAUGGGAUUAGCUAGUAGGUGGGGUAACGGCUCACCUAGGCGACGAUCCCUAGCUGGUCUGAGAGGAUGACCAGCCACACUGGAACUGAGACACGGUCCAGACUCCUACGGGAGGCAGCAGUGGGGAAUAUCGCACAAUGGGCGCAAGCCUGAUGCAGCCAUGCCGCGUGUAUGAAGAAGGCCUUCGGGUUGUAAAGUACUUUCAGCGGGGAGGAAGGUGUUGAGGUUAAUAACCUCAGCAAUUGACGUUACCCGCAGAAGAAGCACCGGCUAACUCCGUGCCAGCAGCCGCCGCGG
This 506-nucleotide ribosomal RNA is filed under the name uncultured bacterium. RNAcentral describes it as "partial 16S ribosomal RNA". It matches the Rfam family "Bacterial small subunit ribosomal RNA", at positions 29 to 523 of the family's 1533-position model. The record is from RNAcentral.